AGAGUGGCAGACGGGUGAGUAACACGUGGGUAACCUACCCCUAGGCGGGGGAUAACAGCUGGAAACGGCUGCUAAUACCGCAUAAGACUACGAAUCUUCGGGUUAGUAGUUAAAGUCUUCGGACACCAAGGGAGGGGCCCGCGGUUGAUUAGCUUGUUGGUGGGGUAAUGGCCUACCAAGGCAACGAUCAAUAGCUGGUCUGAGAGGAUGAUCAGCCACACUGGUACUUAGACACGGACCAG
RNAcentral lists this ribosomal RNA (242 nucleotides) under uncultured bacterium. Its description in RNAcentral is "partial 16S ribosomal RNA". It matches the Rfam family "Bacterial small subunit ribosomal RNA", at positions 92 to 334 of the family's 1533-position model. The record is from RNAcentral.